AUUUUCUAGAUUUUUAUACAUAUUUAAAGUCUAAAUAUUUUUUACAAUGAGGAGGACAACACUGUUUUUAAAAUGAUUAUUUUGUUUUGAAGACAGUAUUUUUAAGAAAAUUACAUGUAGACUAAUAAAGUAAUACAUCCAUGGAAAACAGAGAAGUCAGUUUUGAAUUAUUAAGCCUGAUCACAUAUUCUAUUUGCCCAUCAUUCAGAAUAUUUUUUCAAAUGGUUUCAAUAUAAUAAAGCCUUAAAUGUUUUGCUCCAAGCAUUCCUGAUUUGAUUUUUCACACAUCGUGCAUUUUAAGAGCUGUUCAUCUGAUUGCUUUUUGUUCAUUUAAACUUAUCUCAUCAAAAUGCAAAAUUUAUAAGAGCUAUUUCAUCCCCCCAAAACAUUUAAGUCUAAUUUAUUUUCUAAUUUUUCUUAGAAAAAGGAAAACAAAUUUUACUAAAAGUAAAUGAACUUAAGCUACAAAAGUUUGAGCCUGACACAGAAAUAAGUUAAACAUCAUGAGACUGAAAAGCACCCAGGCCUUCAAUUCUUAAUUCAAAAGGUUUAUUUACCCACAUACGAUUAACACUCAGAACAGCUUUUCUUCUCUCUUAGAUCUUAUAUUCCACAUUCUUCUGUAACAUAGCAAAUGGAUGGCGACCUUGCUCCUAGGAAACAGGUGGAAAUCUGCCAUAAGCCUGUGACUGACCUGGGCGCUGAUUCAACUUCAUUCUUUCCUCUUUCUCAGUGUUUGGUGCUGGCCAUGGUUUCUUCAAGGUCUCUUCUUAAUUAAGAUCUUGCUACCUGAUCUUCAGCCUCAUUUUCUGCAGAGUAGGUUCUGAGCUUGCUUGCUCCUCACACAGACUGGAUUUCCACAACAAGCCACACUGAAUCAGCAGACUCCAAAGUCACCAUUCUCCUGGUCUGUCUUCCACCUGAAGACGGCUUUGUCCUGAAGCUCUCUCCUGUCUCAUAUACUGGGAACCAAAGCCUGUCCUGCUUGCCAUUUCCCUCCUUCUCUUUCUCCAAUCCUGUGAUUUCAAGUCCAUCAAAUCUCUCAUUUAGUUUCAAGACUCUUGACACUAAACUUACUAAUUCCUCUAUCUAAAACGUCCUUUGAAAUUGUCCGUCUACCACACCUAGCAAAUACUUCGUUGAAUGUCAAGACUCAAUUUAAUCACCUCCUCCCUAGGGACUUCUAAUCUCUCUAGUAGAGUACAUGUCCACUUUCUUCUCUGAGCAACCCCCCUCCCACACACAGUGACACACACAGACACACAGACACACGCACACACAUGGGCUAUUUCUCUUAUGUUGGCAUUACUUGUUUACAUGUCUUUCUUCUCGACCAGACGCUAAGCUCCUUAAAGACACGCCAUGCCUCACUUGUCUACAUGUACUCAGUACCUCCUCGAGACAGGCAACAGUCAUAACAUAUUCUCCAUAAGUCUGUUGGGUGAAUUAAAUAUGGCCUAUCAGGAGGCUUAUCUUGAUUUUUAGACACUAUCCUUGGUAUGGUAACCUUCUCUUAGCCUACAUUCAGCUAUAUGUGAGUAGGCUAAAGAGCCUGGAAUUUAUACAAUGGUCAGUUGGGAGACACUGCACUUUCAGAGGCCGGGAACUCUCGUAUCAGAUGGUACUUUGGAAAAGUCUGGAAAUAACAUCCAGAAGUGACUGAGACCUGAGAGGAAUUUAGCUGUUACCCAACCUCGCCUGGGAUGACAAGUUUCUACAGUAAGAUGGUGACAAUAAAAGAUAGAGAAGGAAAAAAAAAAUCUCUAAGAUGUCCCACAAUGCAUGUCAGGAAUAGUCAGGAAAAGGUUUGAUGGGCCCCCCUCUGCACAUGCAAAAACACAGUACUGUGUUAGGGAACAAAUAAAAAAUUCUAUAUAUAUAUGCAUGUGUGUGUGAGUGUGUGUGUGUAUAUAUAUGUAUUUAUGUAUAUAUAUAUAUACACACACACACAUAUGCACUUAUAUAUAGAGGUGCUACAUCUGCAGCAAAUUCUCAAGGGCUUAUUGAAACCAGUGGCUUUCCUACUCCUUCAAAGACUGCUCCUCUCCCCUCAAAAUGUGAGAUACUUAUGACUCAGUUAGAUGUACUAAAAACACAGUGGGCUGCCAAGCAUACUCGCUGAACUGAGAAUACAUUAAUAUUCCAUGCUUCUUGGGUACAAGGUUGGAGUCAAUGCCAGAAAUGGCUCUUCCUUAUAAGAGCCAAAAGUUCCAUCACAGGUUCAAUAAGGGUGUCAUCACUAAGUUAAGAUGCUGUUACAAAGGCUAAUAAGAGGAUUAAAUACAUUAAAAAGAGGGCCAAGACUCAUACAAAUUUGAUUUCCUUUCCCCAAAAGAAUACCAAGCAUCUGAGAUAUAGGAGGUUAAGUGAAGGGCAAAAGAGAUGCCUAGAUUCAUUUAUAAGUGAUUUACUUUUGGAGAGAUUUUGAAAGAUUAUUUAACUUAGAAUGAAGAGUAAAAUAUUCAAGGCAGUUUUAUGCUAAUUAAUGAAAAAGUGGAAAUGGAUAUUAAAUUUCUAACUCACCAGCAUCAUGGACAAGACAAGAAAAGAAAGCCAAUUUUCGGUUUUUCUGAGGAACUUCUUACAUAAUUUAUAGAUCUUUAUAUACAAAGAUACACUUUAAAACUGGACUUUAAGAAGUUUUUUCAAUUAAUAUAGUUGGGUAAAGUAAAGAAAAUAGGCUUACAUGAACUAUCUACACAUUUUUCUUCAAUUUACUUCUGGAAUACUGUUAUGAGAGGACUGGCCAAAAUUGUGAUGCAAAAGUUGGCCAAAAAAAUCCAAAGGAAGGAAAAUAAUUUCUUCUCAGAACUAAGCAGAAGACCUUAGUUGUAAAAGUCAAAAACGUAAACAGAUAAAAAUUUAAAUUAUUAAUUUCUAAACACAGAGUGCUAACUACUACAGUCAAGUCAUUUUUCCCUGUGGUUGAGUCUCUUAACUAUAAAACAUAAAUAAACGGAUGAAUCUCUUUGAUGACAUUAUUAAGUAUUUCACACCUUACAUAUCAGUCGGUGAAGAGAGCACUGAAGCACAGAAGAACAAGAUUAUGUUUGCAAAACAGGGCUUGUAGGAAUAAGUCUUGUCCUUCUACAAAGUUCCGAAUCCUUUAUAGGUCUUCAAAUUUGUAAGAAUUAGGCUUAAAUACUUUUAAAUGGAAAGCAAAAUACACUGGAAUAAAACGCAUGUCUAUAUGACUUUAAACAUCAAAUGUGAACAUAUUUUCUGUAUCAUCUGGUUAAUAUGCUGGCUUCAGAACUUAACAAUUCUGAGGAUAACAUAUGCUGAUUAUGGUCCAUGUGUUGUUGUUUUUUUUUUUUUUUUCACAUGGUUUACUCUGCCAUAUAGACAUUCCAAGUGCCCCUGAAAAAAAAAAAAGAUGUUAUGACUAGAAAUCCAUUUCUAGAAACAAGUUCACGCUCAAAUUUGCAUGACAACGUCUAGAAUGUUUUAUCCCUCUUAAAACCAGAGUCACAGCUCUUAAAAUCACUUCUUGCACUUUAAUAAACAGAGUCCAAGCUGAUGGUUACAUGGUUUGUGUUUAUCUUAAAAGCUCAUGAAUCCCACAGAAGACUUACGGCCAUAUUGAGUAAGGGGGGGGUCCCCAAAAACUUACUGGUUAUUUUUUAAAUGGUACCUUGCCUGUCUCUAAACAAUAUGAAACUCAACAGCAAGAACAAUAAUCCUUUAAAGUGAUAUUUUGCUCUACACCUAAGCCAAAUUCAAAGAUGAUAUCUAUGAAAAUAUGAUCAUUGUAUGUUGCAAAACCUAGAUAAAGUUUCAGGGUUUGGCCAGCCUCCGAGGUAAGCAGCAAAGAUAAAUAUUGCGCAACUACUAAUCUGUAAAGAAUUCCGUGUGGAUUUCAUGGUUCCAGCUUCUAGACUCCCCUUUCCUUGCACACUAACACAAAUAAAUAAACAAGUAAACAAAUAAAAACCAUACCUGUGAAAGAAUAGAGUGCUUUAAUACCCAAAAGAGCUGACUGGCAGUGAGAGAACAAGUAUAUUCCUAAAGGUUUUCCGUAAAUUGCAUAAUGGUUUCUCACUGACAAACCCAACAAUUAUUCCUGAGAUGGAUGUGUUGAUUUAGCAACGCUCUAUCACUCAGAAUGCCCCUGUUUAUGCUUUUCCUCUCCCACGGGGCCGUCAUUCUCGGGAGUUAUCCCUCUGCACGAGCAGCGAGACCCAUAUCGGAAAGAGAUACCAAUUAAGCAAGUUAUUCUAUAAAACAAAGAAAGUUUUUAAAAACAGAAAUAAAGCAAACCUCAGGAAAGUCAUGCAAACAUAUAAUCUACUACCAAGAAAACUUGAAAUCUGUGAAAAUCUCCACUGAUUGAAGUACUUGAAGUUUCAGUGGAGUUCUGUUGCUAGAGCUGACUCUAUUUACGCCUGUCUGGAGAGAGAACGUGGAAUAAUGCGUGCAAAGUAUUAUCUGAUACAUCUUUAAAGUCCCUCCGUCAACUAGUAAAUAAACAAAGGCAACUGCUAAGGUUUUCACUAUGUUGAUUCCUGCCCUGCCCGUAUAAGAGUUUGAACAUAACUGGUGAGUGAGUGUCCUGGGAGUCUCAGAACACCAAGAAAAACUGUGUAAUCCUUUCCGAUGUGAUUGUGAUUUAAAAGGGGGAAAUCUCUGUGAGGGUCCAGAAGCUGAGUUUUAAUUUUAUGGCUUCUGCAUCCUAAAUCACAUAGCAAGAGGCAAACAGGACCUUUAAUUAAGUAAAUGGGUUUUGUUUUUCCUGAAACAGAAAGAGAAGCUCUGUAAAAGUGAACGUGUUUGGAGGAGAAAAAGAGAGAGAGAAGGAAAGAAUAUGGCAAAAGAUACCUGAAAUAAAGUUUACAAUGGAAGGAAUUUAUAUUGAUUAUUUAUUGAGUUAGGUUGAGUUCGUAGGCACUUGGUGAUUCUGCAGACGCGCUCCUUGACAGCAAAGUCCUAGGGAUCCAACAGUCAUAUAAAAGGUGGCUCAUGCAGAAUGCCACAUGCAGCAAACCGUAUCCACGUGGAGGAAGGAUGUGACUUAUUCAUUUGCUACUUGAGUAAAAAGACAUAUUCGGAUAGAAGCAUAAAGCAAGCAUCCUCUGGCAUCCGUUAGACUCUGGGGUUACACUUGUCCCUGGCAUAAGCACUAGCAUUACUUCUUGACCUGGUGGCAACGAUUAGAAAUAGAAGCAAGGUAUCAAGAACAGGUGACAGUCCUUCCCUCAAACAGAAAAAUGGCAACACAACCAGUGAUAAUCAGAGUAAAUAUUACAUUAUUUUCAUGGAAAGCAUAGAUUAAUCUGAUAAUUAUUACAGAUACAUAACAUGUAAUUGAAUAUCAGCAUAAUGAUUAUCAGUCUGGUUACAGUGAUUUACCUUUAAGGAUACUGGAAUAAAUCUAUUUGACAAUUACAAAGGGGUCUGUCUCAUACAGAAGCACAGAAAGACAACAGUCUUGAGCAAAAUGAAACCCUUACUAACUUGAAUUAUCAUGCAGAAAAAAGGGAGGAAAAUUGUCAUUAUCUAUGUUGCAAGGAGAUUAAACAUCUCUCUUAUAACUUGCGCUCUCAAUAUCACAAAUAAAUAGAAACUUUUCAUAUUUCCUCUGGGAAAAAAUUAGGUAGCAAGAUGAAUUUAUCUGAGCUAAAUGAGUCUUGCUGACAAAGAAGCCACGUGAUAUUCUUGACUUGGAAAGUGAAUAAGACAAUAACCUGAGGGGACGGGAUGCAAAUUUCCUCGGUGAGGAGGGAAUGAUUGGACGGUAACGUUAACAACAACAAGGACAGCAAAAUAGCAGCAAUGUGAAACUGGGGUUGUUCAAAACCACGGCGUGUCCCAGGACAGAGGGGAUGUCACCAUGCUCUCAGGCCGGCGGGCGCUUCAUCCCCUUUGCUCUGUCGGAGCAGAGCUCAGUUUUCUGCGGCAUUCACGCCGUACUCUAAACACAGCACCUGGCAGGGUCCUCGGCACGGGGUGGGCGCCCAGCCAGUUGUGGCUGUUGUCACUGUGGCUGUCCUCCACCGUCCGUCUCCCCGUCCCUCCACGAACUCUACCGUCAUCACUCUGGCUCACCACGCUGAUCCUGGUCGGCCCCGGCUGGCGUUCUGUCAAAAUCUGUGACUGGGAAGCUACCUAAGCGUUAGUGUUGUCUACAGAGUCUCAUGAGCCAGAAGGCAGCACCGACAGUACAGAGACUUCACACUGGGCAAACCCACGCAGUCAGAAAAUCCCACCACCAUACUCUCUUGCCUUCUCCUUUCCUUGAAUGUAGACCCCUUACAUCUUGGUUGCAUUUACUCUUUUUCUUGAUUUAGAUGGACAACUGGAGUGUGAGGUGUUGGGCGGCGUGGC
RNAcentral lists this long non-coding RNA (6324 nucleotides) under Sus scrofa (pig). Its description in RNAcentral is "lncRNA (ENSSSCG00060006363.1)". The record is from RNAcentral. Lineage: Eukaryota; Metazoa; Chordata; Mammalia; Artiodactyla; Suidae.